ACCCCCUCGCAAGAGGAGGUUAAAACUGUGUGUUAAUAGUUGCUGUCCUUUUUGGCCUGGGCACAAUGGUUAGUGAAUC
RNAcentral lists this non-coding RNA (79 nucleotides) under unclassified sequences. RNAcentral's name for it is "L13-Bacteroidia ribosomal protein leader". The stretch from base 17 to 79 matches the Rfam family "L13-Bacteroidia ribosomal protein leader". The record is from RNAcentral.